UGGGGAAUAUUGCACAAUGGAGGGAACUCUGCUGCAGCGACGCCGCGUGAACGAAGAAGGCUUUCGAGUCGUAAAGUUCUUUUAUAUGGGAAGAUAAUGACGGUACCAUAAGAAAAAGCCCCGGCUAACUACGUGCCAGCAGUCGCGGUAAUACGUAGGGGGCUAGCGUUGUCCGGAAUCACUGGGCGUAAAGGGUUCGCAGGCGGAAAUGCAAGUCAGGUGUAAAAGGCAGUAGCUUAACUACUGUAAGCAUUUGAAACUGCAUAUCUUGAGAAGAGUAGAGGUAAGUGGAAUUUUUAGUGUAGCGGUGAAAUGCGUAGAUAUUAAAAAGAAUACCGGUGGCGAAGGCGACUUACUGGGCUCAUUCUGACGCUGAGGAACGAAAGCGUGGGUAGCAAACAGG
Molecule: ribosomal RNA, 403 nt
Filed under: Fusobacteriota bacterium
Lineage: Bacteria; Fusobacteriati; Fusobacteriota
Description: Fusobacteria bacterium partial 16S ribosomal RNA
Rfam family: Bacterial small subunit ribosomal RNA
Source: RNAcentral